Molecule: long non-coding RNA, 426 nt
Organism: Esox lucius (northern pike)
Lineage: Eukaryota; Metazoa; Chordata; Actinopteri; Esociformes; Esocidae
Exons: 3
Source: RefSeq, a predicted model, not a curated record
UUUAAAACAUGCAGGGAGGGGGGCGCCCAGGAGCAGGGUUGAGAAACAUUGCUGGACUGCAAGAGCUUAAAACACUGGAGGACCAUGGUUACAUUCUAUUUCUGUGGAGUUUGUAUCUACCAUACUUGCAAAUCUACUUUGUAACCAUCAACCCAUAGUGCAUCCUGGUGCUGUGUGUUCUCCAGCUGAAAGGCAUUGGUCAUCCAAGUGGUUGGAAUCAGAUUGAUGGAGAAAAGGAGAUGCAAAAAGAAGAGCAAGAAGGGAAGGAAAUAGUGUCUUUGUUAAGGCAUUAUGGAAAGUUGAUUUGUUGCAUUUGUCUUUGUGUGUUGUUUGUUUCAUAUGCAACUACAAAAUGCAUGUAUUGAUUAAACAUUUUAAGUACAUUACAACAAGUGUUCACCCUACAUUUCUAAAUAAAAUGUUGUU